AUCUAUACAGUGAAACUGCGAAUGGCUCAUUAAAUCAGUUAUCGUUUAUUUGAUAGUACCUUACUACUUGGAUAACCGUGGUAAUUCUAGAGCUAAUACAUGCUAAAAACCUCGACUUCGGAAGGGGUGUAUUUAUUAGAUAAAAAACCAAUGCCCUUCGGGGCUCCUUGGUGAUUCAUGAUAACUUAACGAAUCGCAUGGCCUUGUGCCGGCGAUGGUUCAUUCAAAUUUCUGCCCUAUCAACUUUCGAUGGUAGGAUAGUGGCCUACCAUGGUUUCAACGGGUAACGGGGAAUUAGGGUUCUAUUCCGGAGAGGGAGCCUGAGAAACGGCUACCACAUCCAAGGAAGGCAGCAGGCGCGCAAAUUACCCAAUCCCGACACGGGGAGGUAGUGACAAUAAAUACUGAUACAGGGCUCUUUUGGGUCUUGUAAUUGGAAUGAGUACAAUUUAAAUCCCUUAACGAGGAACAAUUGGAGGGCAAGUCUGGUGCCAGCAGCCGCGGUAAUUCCAGCUCCAAUAGCGUAUAUUAAAGUUGUUGCAGUUAAAAAGCUCGUAGUUGAACCUUGGGCCUGGUUGGUCGGUCCGCCUCGCGGCGUGCACUGAUCCGACCGGGCCUUUCCUUCUGGGGAACCGCAUGCCCUUCAUUGGGUGUGUUGGGGAUCCAGGACUUUUACUUUGAAAAAAUUAGAGUGUUCAAAGCAGGCAUAUGCUCGAAUACAUUAGCAUGGAAUAAUAGAAUAGGACGUGUGGUUCUAUUUUGUUGGUUUCUAGGACCGCCGUAAUGAUUAAUAGGGAUAGUCGGGGGCAUCAGUAUUCCGUUGUCAGAGGUGAAAUUCUUGGAUUUACGGAAGACUAACUACUGCGAAAGCAUUUGCCAAG
RNAcentral lists this ribosomal RNA (881 nucleotides) under Thelebolus sp. Its description in RNAcentral is "SSU rRNA". It matches the Rfam family "Eukaryotic small subunit ribosomal RNA", at positions 72 to 962 of the family's 1831-position model. Lineage: Eukaryota; Fungi; Ascomycota; Leotiomycetes; Thelebolales; Thelebolaceae. The record is from RNAcentral.